GCCAGGCAUGGUGGUGUGUGCCUGUAAUCCCAACUACUGGUGAGGCUGAGGCAGGACAAUCGCUUGAGCCCAGGAAUUCAAGGUUGCAGUGAGCAGUGACCAUGCCACUGCAUUCCAGCCUGGUCAACAGAGUGAGAACCUGUCUUAA
This 148-nucleotide non-coding RNA is filed under the name Homo sapiens (human). The record is from Rfam by way of RNAcentral. Lineage: Eukaryota; Metazoa; Chordata; Mammalia; Primates; Hominidae.